This 579-nucleotide ribosomal RNA is filed under the name Echymipera clara (Clara's echymipera). RNAcentral describes it as "partial 16S ribosomal RNA". It matches the Rfam family "Bacterial large subunit ribosomal RNA", at positions 1997 to 2814 of the family's 2925-position model. Lineage: Eukaryota; Metazoa; Chordata; Mammalia; Peramelemorphia; Peroryctidae. The record is from RNAcentral.
UGGCAUAACGAGGGUUCAACUGUCUCUUAUUCUUAAUCAGUGAAAUUGACCUCCCCGUGCAGAGGCGGGGAUAUAAAUACAAGACGAGAAGACCCUGUGGAGCUUAAAACUAAUAAGUUAAUUCAACAAAAUUAAAUUCUAAAGAAAUAACAUAAUGAAACUUGACUUAUAGUUUUUGGUUGGGGUGACCUCGGAGUAUAAAAUAACCUCCGAAUGAUAUAACCUAGAUUAACAAAUCUGAGUGUAUUCACAAUACCAGUAAUUGACCCAAUUUUUGAUCAACGGACCAAGUUACCCCAGGGAUAACAGCGCAAUCCUAUUUAAGAGCCCAUAUCGACAAUUAGGGUUUACGACCUCGAUGUUGGAUCAGGACAUCCAAAUGGUGCAACCGCUAUUAAUGGUUCGUUUGUUCAACGAUUAAAGUCCUACGUGAUCUGAGUUCAGACCGGAGAAAUCCAGGUCGGUUUCUAUCUGUAUGUUCAUUUCUCCCAGUACGAAAGGACAAGAGAAAUAAGGCCAACAUUAACAAAUGAGCCUUAGAACUAAUAUAUGAAUUAAUCUUAAUAUUUUUAAUCGAUA